Molecule: ribosomal RNA, 499 nt
Filed under: uncultured Glomeromycotina
Lineage: Eukaryota; Fungi; Glomeromycota
Description: partial small subunit ribosomal RNA
Rfam family: Eukaryotic small subunit ribosomal RNA
Source: RNAcentral
CCAAUAGCGUAUAUUAAAGUUGUUGCAGUUAAAAAGCUCGUAGUUGAAUUUCGGGAUCAGUACGCUGGUCAUGCCUUUGGUAUGCACUGGUGUCACUGGUUUCUCCCUUCUGAAGAUCCGUGAUGUCAUUAAUUUGGUGUCGCGGGGAAUCAGGACUGUUACUUUGAAAAAAUUAGAGUGUUUAAAGCAGGCUCACGCUUGAAUACAUUAGCAUGGAAUAAUGAAAUAGGACGUUUGACCCUAUUUUGUUGGUUUCUAGGAUCGACGUAAUGAUUAAUAGGGAUAGUUGGGGGCAUUAGUAUUCAAUUGUCAGAGGUGAAAUUCUUGGAUUUAUUGAAGACUAACUACUGCGAAAGCAUUUGCCAAGGAUGUUUUCAUUAAUCAAGAACGAAAGUUAGGGGAUCGAAGACGAUCAGAUACCGUCGUAGUCUUAACCAUAAACUAUGCCGACUAGGGAUCGGAUGAUGUUAAUUUUAUAAUGACUCAUUCGGCGCCUUAC